AGAGUUUGAUCAUGGCUCAGAACGAGCGCUGGCGGAAUGCCUAACACAUGCAAGUCGAACGAAGUCUUCGGAUUUAGUGGCGCACGGGUGAGUAACGCGUGGGAAUCUGCCUUGGGGUACGGAAUAACUCAGGGAAACUUGAGCUAAUACCGUAUGAUGUCGUGAGACCAAAGAUUUAUCGCCCCAAGAAGAGCCCGCGUCAGAUUAGCUAGUUGGUGAGGUAAUGGCUCACCAAGGCGACGAUCUGUAGCUGGUCUGAGAGGAUGAUCAGCCACACUGGGACUGAGACACGGCCCAGACUCCUACGGGAGGCAGCAGUGGGGAAUAUUGGACAAUGGGCGAAAGCCUGAUCCAGCAAUUCCGCGUGAGCGAAGAAGGCCUUCGGGUUGUAAAGCUCUUUCGGCAGGGACGAUAAUGACGGUACCUGCAGAAGAAGCCCCGGCUAACUCCGUGCCAGCCGCCGCGGUAAUAC
This 472-nucleotide ribosomal RNA is filed under the name uncultured bacterium. Its description in RNAcentral is "bacterial SSU rRNA". It matches the Rfam family "Bacterial small subunit ribosomal RNA", at positions 8 to 526 of the family's 1533-position model. The record is from RNAcentral.